RNAcentral lists this ribosomal RNA (660 nucleotides) under Natrinema pallidum. RNAcentral's name for it is "bacterial SSU rRNA". It matches the Rfam family "Archaeal small subunit ribosomal RNA", at positions 43 to 704 of the family's 1478-position model. Lineage: Archaea; Methanobacteriati; Methanobacteriota; Halobacteria; Halobacteriales; Natrialbaceae. The record is from RNAcentral.
AUUUAGCCAUGCUAGUUGCACGAGUUUAGACUCGUAGCAGAUAGCUCAGUAACACGUGGCCAAACUACCCUAUGGAUCCGAAUAACCUCGGGAAACUGAGGCUAAUGCGGAAUAGCGUUCAUCGCCUGGAGUGGCACGAACGCGAAACGUUACGGCGCCAUAGGAUGUGGCUGCGGCCGAUUAGGUAGACGGUGGGGUAACGGCCCACCGUGCCCAUAAUCGGUACGGGUUGUGAGAGCAAGAGCCCGGAGACGGUAUCUGAGACAAGAUACCGGGCCCUACGGGGCGCAGCAGGCGCGAAACCUUUACACUGCACGCGAGUGCGAUAAGGGGACUCCGAGUGCGAGGGCAUAUAGUCCUCGCUUUUCACGACCGUAAGGUGGUCGUAGAAUAAGUGCUGGGCAAGACCGGUGCCAGCCGCCGCGGUAAUACCGGCAGCACGAGUGAUGACCGCUAUUAUUGGGCCUAAAGCGUCCGUAGCUGGCCACGCAAGUCUAUCGGGAAAUCCGCGCGCUUAACGCGCGGGCGUCCGGUGGAAACUGCGUGGCUUGGGACCGGAAGACCAGAGGGGUACGUCCGGGGUAGGAGUGAAAUCCCGUAAUCCUGGACGGACCACCGGUGGCGAAAGCGCCUCUGGAAGACGGAUCCGACGGUGAGGGA